This 77-nucleotide transfer RNA is filed under the name Escherichia coli. RNAcentral's name for it is "tRNA-Arg". It matches the Rfam family "tRNA". From Rfam's summary of the family: Transfer RNA (tRNA) molecules are approximately 80 nucleotides in length. RNAcentral also lists the same sequence under 4 other names. Lineage: Bacteria; Pseudomonadati; Pseudomonadota; Gammaproteobacteria; Enterobacterales; Enterobacteriaceae. The record is from RNAcentral.
GCAUCCGUAGCUCAGCUGGAUAGAGUACUCGGCUACGAACCGAGCAGUCGGAGGUUCGAAUCCUCCCGGAUGCACCA